AUUGAACGCUGGCGGAAUGCUUUACACAUGCAAGUCGAACGGCAGCACGGACUUCGGUCUGGUGGCGAGUGGCGAACGGGUGAGUAAUGUAUCGGAACGUGCCCAGUCGUGGGGGAUAACGUAGUGAAAAUUACGCUAAUACCGCAUACGAUCUAUGGAUGAAAGCGGGGGAUCGCAAGACCUCGCGCGAUUGGAGCGGCCGAUAUCAGAUUAGGUAGUUGGUGGGGUAAAGGCCUACCAAGCCAACGAUCUGUAGCUGGUCUGAGAGGACGCCCAGCCACACACGAACUGGGACACGGUCCCGACUCCUACAGGAGGAAGCAGUGGGGGAUUUUGGACCAUGGGCGAAAGCCUGAACCAGCCAGUCCGCGUGCAGGAUGAAGGCCCUCGGGUUGUAAACUCCUUUUGUACAGAACGAAAAGGUUUCUGCUAAUACUUGGAGCUCAUGACGGUACUGUAAGAAUACGCACCUGCUAAUUACGUGCCAGCCGCCGCCGUAA
RNAcentral lists this ribosomal RNA (500 nucleotides) under uncultured bacterium. RNAcentral describes it as "partial 16S ribosomal RNA". It matches the Rfam family "Bacterial small subunit ribosomal RNA", at positions 30 to 523 of the family's 1533-position model. The record is from RNAcentral.